GUUUAAUUCGAUGCAAAGCGAAGAACCUUACCAUGGCUUGACAUGCCGCGAAUCAUCUUGAAAGAGAGGGGUGCCUUCAGAAACACGGACACAAGUGGUGCAUAGCUAUCGUCAGUCUGUGCCGUAAGGUGUUGGGUUAAGUCCCGCAACAAGCGCAAAGCGCAUUGUCAGUCGAAGGGAGUUCGUCGUGUUGUUUGAAGAUGAGUGUUGCUGGUUGGACAUGACGAUUAAGGAGAUUCGUCACAACGACGACAACA
This 257-nucleotide non-coding RNA is filed under the name Morus notabilis. RNAcentral describes it as "Bacterial small subunit ribosomal RNA". It matches the Rfam family "Bacterial small subunit ribosomal RNA", at positions 944 to 1148 of the family's 1533-position model. Lineage: Eukaryota; Viridiplantae; Streptophyta; Magnoliopsida; Rosales; Moraceae. The record is from Rfam by way of RNAcentral.